CGAUACUGUCUUGUCUUAACUUAAACUAGUUGGCUGCAACAUUCAACCACUUUGCUGUACGGAAUCAUAAUAUUAAGUGCUCUGUUUAAAAUAGGGAUAAUGGCACGAAAGACCCUAUACUUAAGUGUUUGUUCUAGUGUAAUACCUAUAUUUUCAAAAUGUCCAAUUUAAUUUUUGUACUUAAGUGUUUGUUCUAGUGUAAUACCUAUAUUUUCAAAAUGUCCAAUUUAAUUUUUGUACUUUGCUUCUUCUUUUUUUAAUUAUUUUGCUCCAUUCUUCUAACACUGUUUGCUUUUACUGACAUGUCGUGUAGGCUAAUAAGGGGCCGCCUAACUUUUGAUCGGCUAUGUGAGGCCCCUUUUAGCAAUUCGCCCUUUUUCUCUUCUAGAAAAGAUAAAACGUGAG
RNAcentral lists this long non-coding RNA (405 nucleotides) under Gossypium barbadense (sea-island cotton). Its description in RNAcentral is "long non-coding RNA (GBAR_LNC015079)". The record is from RNAcentral. Lineage: Eukaryota; Viridiplantae; Streptophyta; Magnoliopsida; Malvales; Malvaceae.